Molecule: long non-coding RNA, 1853 nt
Organism: Solenopsis invicta (red fire ant)
Lineage: Eukaryota; Metazoa; Arthropoda; Insecta; Hymenoptera; Formicidae
Exons: 6
Source: RefSeq, a predicted model, not a curated record
UUACGAUAUAACGUUUUACAACAGACAAUUUCAACCAUAACAUACUAGUGGCGCCAUUUUUUGUGAAACGGCGGAAACUUAUUUAUACUCCUAAUACGUUUCCGGGGUCGAGCAACCUCGAAGGGCUCCCAUAAAUUACUUUUUGUGUCAACGAGUUUAUUCGUCCAUUUGACACUUCUUUAUAAUUUAUGGUGCUUUGAUUUGCGAUAUAUAAUUUAUGAUAUUUUGAUUUUUGUGACAUUAAUUUAUGAUAUUUUGAUUUUUGUGACAUUUCUCACUCGUCUCAGUGGCGUAUUUUACGUCUCACUGUAUUCCCGGAAAUGGAAGUUAGGAGAUUAAGUGGGUCAUCGUUGCUCGGCCUCCGUCGUAUAGUGUAUCCGUCGUCAAAAGAAAAGAAUCGUUACAUCGCUGGACGUAACAGAACGUACGAUCAUGGUUUUAUUAUUUUUUAAAAUCUGAGUAACUUUUCAACAUUUCUGAGUAUUUAUGAUUAUAAUUUUUCAGAAAACCAAAAAUGUCGAUGACAAUAAUAUCAAAAACAAAAUUGAAGAAAGAUUAAAAAAUUUAAAACUCAAAAAUACUGAUGUUGCACAUGUAAGUGACAUAUAUUAAUUUUAAAUUUUUUAAAUUACUACAACAGUCUAUUAAAAAAACCUUAAAAAAAUCUAUCUUACAAAAUUUGUAAAAUCGUUUAUUAAUGUUGCUGUAGAAAUGUUUUCUUUAAUUUGCCCGUAAUAAUUUCACGAUUUCUUAUGCAUGAAUUUUUAAAAAAUAAACACUAAUUAAUGUGUAUUUAUUAACAGAAAAAUAAUGAAAAUGACUUAUUAACACAGCGAAAAAACGACUUACCUAAACCGUCUGCAAAGAAAAUGAUUCCUGCAAUGAAUGCGGGAUCAAAAACUUUUAUAUCACAAGAAACAAGAAUUCACGAUUUAAAGAAGGAAAAUCUUUGUUUGAAAGAAACCAUAAAAGAAAAAGAAAAGUACAUAAUCGAAAUAUCUAACCUAAAUUGCAAUUUGCAGAAAAAGUUCUCGACGAAUUUGAGGAACUAAAAGCUGUGGUCGUUGAUUUGUGUAAAAGAAAGGGGGCAAAAGAUCCCAGGUAAACUUCCCGUUGAUUACUGAAGCAUGGACAAAAAUCUGAUAUAUCUUGGACACGAUGUUUGGAUAACGAACUGUCAAUAUGACAGUAUCGUUAAUGUAAGUAAAACGUGUUCAAUUUUUGUCAAAAAUUUGGCGAUAACUGUUCGGCACUCCUACUUUAAAAUCAAGCUCAGUCACAAGAACAGUCUCUAACAAGACCAAAAACAAAUAAUGACAAACCCCGACCAAAAUUGGAUCCAGCCAAAAUGUUGGCUAUAAGAGACAUUGGCUAUCCACGGAACGUGGUUAUAAUGAAGCCGCAAUCGAUUUCGAAGUGCAGCAGGUUGGCACGUAUAUAAGCCAAAAAAUAUCAGAAUUGAACAUUUCCACCUAUUGAGGUGGAAUAGCUAUUUCAGCUUAAUCAAAUGUGACUCUUAUAAAAAAUAAUUAUCUUUUUAUUUAAUUGUUGUAUUAUAUAUUUUUUAUUUAGCUGAUUCGGUAAAAAUAAUGGAUGUGUUGGUUUAAGAAUAAAUGUAGCAUAGUCGUAAAUAAAGAAAAAGAAAUUAAAAAAGAAAUAUAAUUUUGUAGAGCUAUUAUUGGCUAUAACAAAUUAAUAUACUUAUAGUAAUUUAAUAUAUAAAAUUUUAAAUCUGUGUAUACUAUAUAUUUACAAAGGUUGGUAGCAACAACCACGCUACAGUAGAAGGUGCAGAGUUUUGUAAUGCAGAAGUUAACGACGUCGAAUCUGCUGCAGAAAAAGAUGUACGUAAU